This 425-nucleotide ribosomal RNA is filed under the name uncultured bacterium. RNAcentral's name for it is "bacterial SSU rRNA". It matches the Rfam family "Bacterial small subunit ribosomal RNA", at positions 354 to 796 of the family's 1533-position model. The record is from RNAcentral.
GUUAGGAAUAUUGGACAAUGGGCGCAAGCCUGAUCCAGCCAUGCCGCGUGAGUGAUGAAGGCCUUCGGGUUGUAAAGCUCUUUAGCCGAUGAUUAUAAUGACUGUAGUCGGAAAAUAAGCCCCGGCUAACUUCGUGCCAGCAGCCGCGGUAAUACGAAGGGGGCGAGCGUUAUUCGGAAUCACUGGGCGUAAAGCGUGCGUAGGCGGCUUUGCAAGUUGGGAGUGAAAGCCCAGGGCUCAACCCUGGAAUUGCUCUCAAAACUACAAGGCUCGAAUUCGGGAGAGGAUAGCGGAAUUGUCAGUGUAGCAGUGAAAUGCGUAGAUAUUGACAGGAACACCAGUGGCGUAAGCGGCUAUCUGGACCGAUAUUGACGCUGAGGCACGAAAGCGUGGGGAUCAAACAGGAUUAGAUACCCCGGUAGUCC